UACGUAGGUGGCAAGCGUUGUCCGGAAUUACUGGGCGUAAAGCGUGCGCAGGCGGUUAUGUAAGACAGGUGUGAAAUCCCCGGGCUUAACCUGGGAACUGCAUUUGUGACUGCAUAGCUAGAGUACGGUAGAGGGGGAUGGAAUUCCGCGUGUAGCAGUGAAAUGCGUAGAUAUGCGGAGGAACACCGAUGGCGAAGGCAAUCCCCUGGACCUGUACUGACGCUCAUGCACGAAAGCGUGGGGAGCAAACAGG
RNAcentral lists this ribosomal RNA (253 nucleotides) under uncultured bacterium. RNAcentral's name for it is "partial 16S ribosomal RNA". It matches the Rfam family "Bacterial small subunit ribosomal RNA", at positions 524 to 776 of the family's 1533-position model. The record is from RNAcentral.